Molecule: ribosomal RNA, 429 nt
Filed under: Pseudanapis cf. parocula MR082
Lineage: Eukaryota; Metazoa; Arthropoda; Arachnida; Araneae; Anapidae
Description: partial 16S ribosomal RNA
Source: RNAcentral
UUCUUAAAGAAUGUAUUUUAAGUAAAAUCUGCUCAAUGAUAUUAAAUAGCCGCAAACGUGCUAAGGUAGCAUAAUCACUCGCCUUUUAAUUAAAGGAUAGAAUGAAAGAUUGUACAAUUAAGUUUCUUUAUUAAGAAUAUUUAUUUAAUUUUUAUUAAAUAUAAAAAUAUAUUUAUAUAUAAAAAAGACGAUAAGACCCUAUUGAACUUUACUUUAGUUUAGUUGGGGAAACUAAUUAAUUAUAAUUUUAAUUUAUCCAAAUUAACAAAAUUCUAUUUUAAUAAACUUAUAAGCUACCAUAGGGAUAACAGCGCAAUUAUAUUUUAAAGCUCUUAUUUAAAAUAAAUUAUACGACCUCGAUGUUGAAUAUAAUUACUUAUAUAAGUAAAAAUAUAAAAAGUUAGUCUGUUCGACUAUAAAAAUUAUACA